CGUACACUCCUGCGGGAGGCAGCAGUGGGGAAUAUCGGACAAUGGGCGCAAGCCUGAUCCAGCCAUGCCGCGUGAGUGAUGAAGGCCCUAGGGUUGUAAAGCUCUUUCACCGGUGAAGAUAAUGACGGUAACCGGAGAAGAAGCCCCGGCUAACUUCGUGCCAGCAGCCGCGGUAAUACGAAGGGGGCUAGCGUUGUUCGGAUUUACUGGGCGUAAAGCGCACGUAGGCGGACUAUUAAGUCAGGGGUGAAAUCCCGGGGCUCAACCCCGGAACUGCCUUUGAUACUGGUAGUCUUGAGUUCGAGAGAGGUGAGUGGAAUUCCGAGUGUAGAGGUGAAAUUCGUAGAUAUUCGGAGGAACACCAGUGGCGAAGGCGGCUCACUGGCUCGAUACUGACGCUGAGGUGCGAAAGCGUGGGGAGCAAACAGGAUUAGAUACCCCAGUAGUCCCAUGAU
RNAcentral lists this ribosomal RNA (455 nucleotides) under uncultured organism. RNAcentral's name for it is "partial 16S ribosomal RNA". It matches the Rfam family "Bacterial small subunit ribosomal RNA", at positions 330 to 801 of the family's 1533-position model. The record is from RNAcentral.